GACGAACGCUGGCGGCGUGCUUAACACAUGCAAGUCGAACGGAAAGGCCCUGCUUUUGUGGGGUGCUCGAGUGGCGAACGGGUGAGUAACACGUGAGUAACCUGCCCUUGACUUUGGGAUAACUUCAGGAAACUGGGGCUAAUACCGGAUAGGAGCUCCUGCUGCAUGGUGGGGGUUGGAAAGUUUCGGCGGUUGGGGAUGGACUCGCGGCUUAUCAGCUUGUUGGUGGGGUAGUGGCUUACCAAGGCUUUGACGGGUAGCCGGCCUGAGAGGGUGACCGGCCACAUUGGGACUGGGAUACGGCCCAGACUCCUACGGGAGGCGGAAGUGGGGAAUAUUGCACAAUGGGCGGAAGCCUGAUGCAGCAACGCCGCGUGCGGGAUGACGGCCUUCGGGUUGUAAACCGCUUUAGCCUGUGACGAAGCGUGAGUGACGGUAAUGGGUAAAGAAGCACCGGCUAACUACGUG
RNAcentral lists this ribosomal RNA (468 nucleotides) under uncultured bacterium. Its description in RNAcentral is "partial 16S ribosomal RNA". It matches the Rfam family "Bacterial small subunit ribosomal RNA", at positions 28 to 507 of the family's 1533-position model. The record is from RNAcentral.